RNAcentral lists this ribosomal RNA (933 nucleotides) under uncultured bacterium. Its description in RNAcentral is "bacterial SSU rRNA". It matches the Rfam family "Bacterial small subunit ribosomal RNA", at positions 9 to 923 of the family's 1533-position model. The record is from RNAcentral.
GAGUUUGAUCAUGGCUCAGGAUGAACGCUGGCGGCGUGCCUAAUACAUGCAAGUCGAACGCGCAGCGAGAGGUGCUUGCACCUUUCAAGCGAGUGGCGAACGGGUGAGUAACACGUGGAUAACCUGCCUCAAGGCUGGGGAUAACAUUUGGAAACAGAUGCUAAUACCGAAUAAAACUUAGUAUCGCAUGAUAUAAAGUUAAAAGGCGCUACGGCGUCACCUAGAGAUGGAUCCGCGGUGCAUUAGUUAGUUGGUGGGGUAAAGGCUUACCAAGACAAUGAUGCAUAGCCGAGUUGAGAGACUGAUCGGCCACAUUGGGACUGAGACACGGCCCAAACUCCUACGGGAGGCUGCAGUAGGGAAUCUUCCACAAUGGGCGCAAGCCUGAUGGAGCAACGCCGCGUGUGUGAUGAAGGCUUUCGGGUCGUAAAGCACUGUUGUAUGGGAAGAAAUGCUAAAAUAGGGAAUGAUUUUAGUUUGACGGUACCAUACCAGAAAGGGACGGCUAAAUACGUGCCAGCAGCCGCGGUAAUACGUAUGUCCCGAGCGUUAUCCGGAUUUAUUGGGCGUAAAGCGAGCGCAGACGGUUGAUUAAGUCUGAUGUGAAAGCCCGGAGCUCAACUCCGGAAUGGCAUUGGAAACUGGUUAACUUGAGUGUUGUAGAGGUAAGUGGAACUCCAUGUGUAGCGGUGGAAUGCGUAGAUAUAUGGAAGAACACCAGUGGCGAAGGCGGCUUACUGGACAACAACUGACGUUGAGGCUCGAAAGUGUGGGUAGCAAACAGGAUUAAAUACCCUGGUAGUCCACACCGUAAACGAUGAAUACUAGGUGUUAGGAGGUUUCCGCCUCUUAGUGCCGAAGCUAACGCAUUAAGUAUUCCGCCUGGGGAGUACGACCGCAAGGUUGAAACUCAAAGGAAUUGACGGGGACCCG